RNAcentral lists this ribosomal RNA (487 nucleotides) under uncultured bacterium. RNAcentral's name for it is "partial 16S ribosomal RNA". It matches the Rfam family "Bacterial small subunit ribosomal RNA", at positions 28 to 507 of the family's 1533-position model. The record is from RNAcentral.
GAGGAAGGAGAGAGAUAGGCUUAACACAUGCAAGUCGAGGGGCAGCACAAGGUAGCUUGCUAUCUGGGUGGCGACCGGCGCACGGGUGCGUAACGCGUAUGCAACUUGCCCUAUACAGGAGGAUAACCCGUCGAAAGACGGACUAAUACUGCGUAUGCUCACAACUUGGCAUCAAGUGGUGAGGAAAGAAAUUCGGUAUAGGAUAGGCAUGCGUCCCAUUAGCUUGUUGGUGAGGUAACGGCUCACCAAGGCAACGAUGGGUAGGGGAACUGAGAGGUUUAUCCCCCACACUGGUACUGAGACACGGACCAGACUCCUACGGGAGGCAGCAGUGAGGAAUAUUGGCCAAUGGGCGCGAGCCUGAACCAGCCAAGUCGCGUGAAGGAUGACUGUCUUAUGGAUUGUAAACUUCUUUUAUACGGGAAUAACAAGAGUCACGUGUGACUCCCUGCAUGUACCGUAUGAAUAAGCAUCGGCUAACUCCGUG